GUGAACGCUGGCGGUAGGCCUAACACAUGCAAGUCGAACGGCAGCACAGUAAGAGCUUGCUCUUACGGGUGGCGAGUGGCGGACGGGUGAGGAAUACAUCGGAAUCUACUUUUUCGUGGGGGAUAACGUAGGGAAACUUACGCUAAUACCGCAUACGACCUACGGGUGAAAGCAGGGGAUCUUCGGACCUUGCGCGAUUGAAUGAGCCGAUGUCGGAUUAGCUAGUUGGCGGGGUAAAGGCCCACCAAGGCGACGAUCCGUAGCUGGUCUGAGAGGAUGAUCAGCCACACUGGAACUGAGACACGGUCCAGACUCCUACGGGAGGCAGCAGUGGGGAAUAUUGGACAAUGGGCGCAAGCCUGAUCCAGCCAUACCGCGUGGGUGAAGAAGGUCUUCGGGUUGUAAAGCCCUUUUGUUGGGAAAGAAAAGCAGCAGGUUAAUACCCCGCUGUUCUGACGGUACCCAAAGAAUAAGCACCGGCUAACUUCGUG
RNAcentral lists this ribosomal RNA (491 nucleotides) under uncultured bacterium. Its description in RNAcentral is "partial 16S ribosomal RNA". It matches the Rfam family "Bacterial small subunit ribosomal RNA", at positions 29 to 507 of the family's 1533-position model. The record is from RNAcentral.